RNAcentral lists this long non-coding RNA (1151 nucleotides) under Cyanistes caeruleus (blue tit). RNAcentral describes it as "lncRNA (ENSCCEG00000001273.1)". Lineage: Eukaryota; Metazoa; Chordata; Aves; Passeriformes; Paridae. The record is from RNAcentral.
AUGCUCCUGCCGCUACCCACGGCUGCCUCGUGCCCUCCCGCAGCCCCAGCUUUUCUACCGCCCUUCGUACCGGCCUCUCAAGCCACGGAGGGGGAGAAAAGGGGACGGGACACCGGCUCUACAACUGCUGACACCCGCGUCGCCUCUGCCACCGCCCAGCCCAGCCACCGUCCAGUCCCCGCCAUGCGUCUUCACGUCCCCGCGUGCACCACCGAAGCCACCCAACGCCGGCACACGGCCCCCGCCUGUCUCCGCCCCGCUGCUAACACCGGCACAGAUCUCGUCAGUAUCCGCUACGCCAACAACUCUCCCCGGCAACGCGAAACAGCGACAGUUUUCUGCUUUCCUCUUCUACCUCACCACUUCCUCUUCAGAGCCCCAAAAAAGGCAUUUCAAAGGUUUAAAGCUGCAUUUCAGGGCACUUCUACCCACACCCCGGCACCAAAUAUCUGCGACGGGAGCGAGGCCAGCAGGAGGAUUGCAAUUUCCAGAAGUUCUAGGCCACGUCAACCCUCCCAGGAGCUUCUGAGAAACCCCAGGUCCUUCCAUUCAUCUCCCAUCUUUGCGUUCCUCGGCCCGACGCCGGCGCAACUUUGAUUCUGGAGCUCUGACACGCGUCAGAAUCGCAUCUGUCUUCAGAAGCACGCGAUCGUACGUUUUUUUAGGUCUCGUUCUCAGCUGUGUCAACAGCUAUAUGCAGCAGUGUUUCUUUACAGUGGAUAAGGACUUGUGCCAAUUCAAAGGCAGGCAGAGGCUUCCAGCCACAGGAUUCUCAGGCAUCCGUCUCUGCGGUUCUUGGAAAAAGUUGUUCCUUUAGCAUCUUUUUCCUCCAGGGUCAUCUGAUCCCGACAGGCUCGCCUGGGGUCCCUCCUCGGUCAUCACGUUCAGCAUUCUCUUGGUCCUCGUGAGGACUUUCUUGUCUCAGAGUUUUCUCUCCCUGUCACGUCCCCUCGUCUCACGUGUCACGAGUGUCUGGGGGUAUUUGGUCCGGAGCUGCUCUGCCCUGCCGCCCAGCCGGGUUGUAGGCGUUUAAGGACAAGUCCCGGGCACUUGUAAUCGGAGACUUGUAGUACGGGCUGUAGUUGGAGUCUAGGUGGUAUUCUUAUGUUGGCAGAAGGUGUUUGGAGCUGUGAGGUUACCCUGCAGCACUU